AAAAAAAAAACCAGGGACAAUAGCAGAAAAGUUAAAAUAGGGACAGUAGCAAAAAAGUAAAAAUAGGGGCAGUAGCAUAACGUUUGUAAACAGUCGACAGUAGCAGUUUCUUCAGUUCACAGUAGCAGAACAUUUGUAAACAGUCAGAGCAGUAGCAGCAGAUUUCCGGUCGGUGGCAGUAGUAGCAGAUUUUCGGUCAGUGACAGUAGCAGCAGAUUUCCGGUCAGUGGCAGUAGCAGCAGAUUUCCGAUCAGUGGCAGUAGCAGCAGAUUUCCGGUCGGUGACAGUAGCAGCAGAUUUCCAGUCAGAGACAGUAACAGGGAAGUAUGUUUCCAGUCGGAGGUAGNNNNN
Molecule: long non-coding RNA, 351 nt
Filed under: Fragaria vesca (wild strawberry)
Lineage: Eukaryota; Viridiplantae; Streptophyta; Magnoliopsida; Rosales; Rosaceae
Description: long non-coding RNA (FVES_LNC000328)
Source: RNAcentral